GAAAUACAUUAAAAAAGAAAUUCCUCUCCUUUCACAGGAGACAAAAAUAAGACUUUAUUAGCUCUCCUUUUCAAAGGCAAAUGGAAAAAGAAAGAGCAAUAGAUGUAUCAUAAUAAGUGUAAAGCUUCAGGUUUUAUUAUACUAUUAUAAUGAGGAGUGAGGAGGAAACAGAUCAAUACAUCUUCCGUUUUAUUGCAGGUGUGGAUUUGCUCUUCUUGAAGGUUACAGAGAGCAUAGGUAAUGUAUCUUAACUAAUUCCAAUCCAACUUUUGGGGAACUGGUGGAGGCACUUUCAGCCGUGAAUUUCUGAAGUUAACCUUUCUAGAACUAUAUUAGAAAAUAAGAAAACCAGUGCUUUUUGUCAAGUUUAUUCCAGAUGCCUACCAAUGACUUAGGCCUGAUGUUUCUUCAACUGCCAUGUGAGACACUGAAAUGCAGCUAAUGCAGCAGAAUGGAACCUACAACUUUAAUAAGUCUGCUUUUUGGAAUCCAGUCCAAGAGAAAAGGAACAUCCUACUUUGUCAGAGAAAAAUGGGCUUUCUUCCAAGGAGAAAAAUCCAAAUUUCCAGUUAUAACAAACUUAGAAGCAAUUACAACUAAUACCUGUGUCAGGGAAGUGAAGAUAUGUAACAACCUCUAAAUUAAGUAAAGGAUGACAAAUGAAAUAGAAAAAAGAUUUCCUAAAACACGGCUAAUGACCACCAACAAUCAGUAAGUACGGAUCACCAGUGCUGACAUAUUUUAAACUAAGCAAUAUCAGUUCAUGGUAUUUGCUAAUGCU
This 781-nucleotide long non-coding RNA is filed under the name Monodelphis domestica (gray short-tailed opossum). RNAcentral describes it as "lncRNA (ENSMODG00000037764.1)". The record is from RNAcentral. Lineage: Eukaryota; Metazoa; Chordata; Mammalia; Didelphimorphia; Didelphidae.